Mycena rosella is the source of this 94-nucleotide non-coding RNA. NCBI's taxonomy places the organism in Eukaryota, Fungi, Basidiomycota, Agaricomycetes, Agaricales, Mycenaceae. The record is from the annotation of a GenBank genome assembly.
GCAUCAGUGGGGUAGUGGUAACCUGGGUCGUUGCCACAUAAAAGACAUAAAUUGCGGGUUCGACCCGCCGGGGGUUCGAUUCCCUCCUGAUGCA